UUGGAGGGCAAGUCUGGUGCCAGCAGCCGCGGUAAUUCCAGCUCCAAUAGCGUAUAUUAAAGUUGUUGCAGUUAAAAAGCUCGUAGUUGAAACUUGGGCCUGGCUGGCAGGUCCGCCUCACCGCGUGUACUUGUCCGGCCGGGCCUUUCCUUCUGGAGAACCUCAUGCCCUUCACUGGGCGUGUUGGGGAACCAGGACUUUUACUUUGAAAAAAUUAGAGUGUUCAAAGCAGGCCUUUGCUCGAAUACGUUAGCAUGGAAUAAAGGAAUAGGACGUGCGGUCCUAUUUUGUUGGUUUUUA
RNAcentral lists this ribosomal RNA (300 nucleotides) under fungal sp. Its description in RNAcentral is "SSU rRNA". It matches the Rfam family "Eukaryotic small subunit ribosomal RNA", at positions 548 to 853 of the family's 1831-position model. Lineage: Eukaryota; Fungi. The record is from RNAcentral.